RNAcentral lists this ribosomal RNA (252 nucleotides) under uncultured bacterium. RNAcentral's name for it is "partial 16S ribosomal RNA". It matches the Rfam family "Bacterial small subunit ribosomal RNA", at positions 524 to 776 of the family's 1533-position model. The record is from RNAcentral.
UACGUAGGAUGCAAGCGUUGUCCGGAAUUAUUGGGCGUAAAGAGCGCGCAGGCGGUCUAUCAAGUCAGAUGUGAAAUAUCCGGGCUUAACCCGGAGGGGUCAUUUGAAACUGGUAGACUAGAGUACAGCAGAGGAUAGCGGAAUUCCCGGUGUAGUGGUGAAAUGCGUAGAUAUCGGGAGGAACACCAGUGGCGAAGGCGGCUAUCUGGGCUGAAACUGACGCUGAGGCGCGAAGGCUUGGAGGCAAACAGG